Molecule: ribosomal RNA, 506 nt
Filed under: uncultured bacterium
Lineage: Bacteria
Description: bacterial SSU rRNA
Rfam family: Bacterial small subunit ribosomal RNA
Source: RNAcentral
GAGUUUGAUCCUGGCUCAGGACGAACGCUGGCGGCGCGCCUAACACAUGCAAGUCGAACGGAGCUGAGAGGAGCUUGCUUUUCUUAGCUUAGUGGCGAACGGGUGAGUAACGCGUGAGUAACCUGCCCUGGAGUGGGGGACAACAGUUGGAAACGACUGCUAAUACCGCAUAAGCCCACGAUCCGGCAUCGGAUUGAGGGAAAAGGAUUUAUUCGCUCUAGGAUGGCCUCGCGUCCGAUUAGCUAGUUGGUGAGGUAAUGGCCCACCAAGGCGACGAUCGGUAGCCGGACUGAGAGGUUGAACGGCCACAUUGGGACUGAGACACGGCCCAGACUCCUACGGGAGGCAGCAGUGGGGGAUAUUGCACAAUGGGGGAAACCCUGAUGCAGCGACGCCGCGUGGAGGAAGAAGGUUUUCGGAUUGUAAACUCCUGUCGUUAGGGACGAUAAUGACGGUACCUAACAAGAAAGCACCGGCUAACUACGUGCCAGCCGCCGCGGUAAUAC